GAGGCGGGGCCAACUGGCUUUGAGGAGAAACACUGAGCCGCUCGGUCUUCUGAGCUCCUCCAUGCUCUUUCCUCUGCGGGUCAAGCCUUCCUUCAACCCUCCCCGCCUUGCACACCUAAAGGACGAUCAGUCCUGGGCGGCCCCCUUCACUUCGGUGAUUCUGUGUCCUACCGCCAAAGCCCCUGGUAGGAAACAUCUUUUGGUGCGUAUACCAAAAGCGUCUCCACCUGUGGUUCCCAAUUCAGGACAGCCAAGCACCCGUCCUUGCUCAAAUGCCCUAAGACCCCACUCACUCCUCUGACGCAGCUCUGGUUUGGCACCGUUAGCUGAUCUGCUUGGUCCGCUUGCUAGGCCUUCACCCACAAUCCUAAAGUCCCUCUGCCCCUGAGGACUGAACGUGUUUUCUUUAGGGUGAGAUAUAAAAGGUGGAGCUGAGCCAGCGACUGGAUUAUAGAGACUCAUUUGAGUGAUGACUAAAAAAAAAAAUCUCUUGAAUAAUGGAUCUUAAACCUCUAAUUCUAAAGAUUAUUUUUAAUUAUAUUAAUGAAUUAGUUUGUAUUUUAAUUAUGUGUAUGGGUGUGAAGGUGGGUAUGUGUACUCCAGUGCAGAUACGAGUGGACGCCAGAGACGGGCUCUCCCUGAGGUUAAAGUUGCAAGUAGUUGUGGUUUUGGAAACUGAAUUGUGAUCCUCUAUGAGAGCAGUAGAGGACACCACCAUCUUGUGCACUCAUGACUGCACAUACCCACACAUACAGUCCUGCUACCAAGUGACAUAAGUUUGCAGAACCAGAAGGAAAUGGGUAGAAACUAGAAUUUUUGCGGGUGCAUUUUCAUCUACAGCUGAUCAAGGCUUUGGGAAGGCUACCAAUGCUAGUUUCUCCUUGAACACCCAGACACUGCCACCUCACCUUGUGUGCUCCACAGGACUCCUUGAUGAUGACAGACGGUGUCCUUUGAGUCCUGGCCCCCAUGACAUCCAAAGACAAAGCAGUGAUGUCCUUGCCAGUUUCUCCCUGGGAUGCCAUCCUUGAGGCUGCCAAAAACCAGCUUCCAUCUCUGGAUUCAGACUCGUCCCUGGUGAGCAAGAGCUUUCUCCUGGAUAUUAACUGCCAGCCUGGGCAAGGACAGCUUCGGGCACUCCUCUACAGACCCCACUUUGGUCUAUGGACUUUAUUUUCACUCAUCAGUGUCUGGGAUUACUUCUGGGUAUCCACUUCUUCCAGGCUUCUCUCUGGGUUUGCCAGAACUCUUGAGUGUGGAUAUUAGUGCUCUGUAUCUCCAAGGCCACUCCUCCUGUGGUCCUAACUCCCAGGUGGACUCGGUACCAAAGCCCUGGACUUCCCACCCUGCUGUUGGACUGCUCUCAACUCUGUUGGGUCCGGUCGGGUCCAGCUCCAAGCUCUGAGAGUGAUAACCUUGCCAAGGCCACAUGGUAUGGUCUGGGAGGGAUUCUGCCACUUGAGGUGAGCCGGGGGGUCACUGACAGUAUCAGUGGCCAUUUAUACAUGUGAGAGGGAUCCAUUGUGAUCCACUGGUCAGACGCUCAGCACAUAGGUUGGCACAGGACAUUUCAAGUGAAGAGCAAGGAUUCUAGAAGCAAGGUGACUAGUUUGUGCCUCUUCACUACCGUUGUUCAGUGCUGGCUUUAAUGCAGUGUCCAUUGUAUGCAUUAAUGCAGCAUCUGUUGUGUGCAUUAACACAGCACAUCCAUUGUCUAAUUAAUGCAGCAUCCGUUGUGUGCAAGGCUUGCAUAUGGCCUGUGAAAAACGAAGCCCACAUCUCACCAACAGGAGGUAUGCUGCCAAGCCUGUUUUCAAAUUGGCAGCAGAAAGCAGCACAGAACAAGGCCCUUUGUCGAGAACUGAUCUUUCCAGACCUGCUCCUGGGCAGGAUGUGCAAAGUAUGACUGCCUUUUCCUCUAAAGUGCCCUGGUCUCUCUGCAGUCUGACUGUGAGGAAGAAGAGCUCUUCAUCUUUCAGCGGAACGAGCCCGUCCUGAUUCCAGACCUGACUGAGGAGCUGGCUGAAGACCCUGUUGGUGUCGAUGAGUCAGGGACCUGGGUUACUGCAGGGAGGAGUCCUUCACCUGAGGUCUGUAGGACACUGGCCUUGGGAACUCUGGAGGGGAGGGGAGGGAGGUCGUCCCAAGUCUCAUAAGGAUUCCACGAGCAGUGGAAUGGUUAAACCACUGGUUUUGCCUCUCUUCCUCCCACAAGGACAGCCUGGCCAUCGGGUAUGUAGCACAUGAGCACGCCCUCCCUCAGAACUAGGAGCACAUUUGAUUUUCUCUCUGAUUUCCCACCCUGAUCUGUGUUGUUUUCUACCAAGACAUUUUAUAUUGUCUGGC
RNAcentral lists this long non-coding RNA (2346 nucleotides) under Mus musculus (house mouse). RNAcentral's name for it is "long non-coding RNA chr16:4964568-4966914". Lineage: Eukaryota; Metazoa; Chordata; Mammalia; Rodentia; Muridae. The record is from RNAcentral.